RNAcentral lists this ribosomal RNA (716 nucleotides) under Klebsiella sp. Its description in RNAcentral is "bacterial SSU rRNA". It matches the Rfam family "Bacterial small subunit ribosomal RNA", at positions 37 to 744 of the family's 1533-position model. Lineage: Bacteria; Pseudomonadati; Pseudomonadota; Gammaproteobacteria; Enterobacterales; Enterobacteriaceae. The record is from RNAcentral.
UGGCGGCAGGCCUAACACAUGCAAGUCGAGCGGUAGCACAGAGAGCUUGCUCUCGGGUGACGAGCGGCGGACGGGUGAGUAAUGUCUGGGAAACUGCCUGAUGGAGGGGGAUAACUACUGGAAACGGUAGCUAAUACCGCAUAAUGUCGCAAGACCAAAGUGGGGGACCUUCGGGCCUCAUGCCAUCAGAUGUGCCCAGAUGGGAUUAGCUAGUAGGUGGGGUAACGGCUCACCUAGGCGACGAUCCCUAGCUGGUCUGAGAGGAUGACCAGCCACACUGGAACUGAGACACGGUCCAGACUCCUACGGGAGGCAGCAGUGGGGAAUAUUGCACAAUGGGCGCAAGCCUGAUGCAGCCAUGCCGCGUGUGUGAAGAAGGCCUUCGGGUUGUAAAGCACUUUCAGCGGGGAGGAAGGCGAUAAGGUUAAUAACCUUGUCGAUUGACGUUACCCGCAGAAGAAGCACCGGCUAACUCCGUGCCAGCAGCCGCGGUAAUACGGAGGGUGCAAGCGUUAAUCGGAAUUACUGGGCGUAAAGCGCACGCAGGCGGUCUGUCAAGUCGGAUGUGAAAUCCCCGGGCUCAACCUGGGAACUGCAUUCGAAACUGGCAGGCUAGAGUCUUGUAGAGGGGGGUAGAAUUCCAGGUGUAGCGGUGAAAUGCGUAGAGAUCUGGAGGAAUACCGGUGGCGAAGGCGGCCCCCUGGACAAAGACUGAC